RNAcentral lists this ribosomal RNA (484 nucleotides) under uncultured bacterium. RNAcentral's name for it is "partial 16S ribosomal RNA". It matches the Rfam family "Bacterial small subunit ribosomal RNA", at positions 30 to 507 of the family's 1533-position model. The record is from RNAcentral.
AUUGAACGCUGGCGGCAGGCCUAACACAUGCAAGUCGAGCGGAUGAAGGGAGCUUGCUCCUGGAUUCAGCGGCGGACGGGUGAGUAAUGCCUAUGAAUCUGCCUGGUAGUGGGGGAUAACGUCCUGAAACGGGCGCUAAUACCGCAUACGUCCUGAGGGAGAAAGUGGGGGAUCUUCGGACCUCACGCUAUCAGAUGAGCCUAGGUCGGAUUAGCUAGUUGGUGGGGUAAAGGCCUACCAAGGCGACGAUCCGUAACUGGUCUGAGAGGAUGACCAGUCACACUGGAACUGAGACACGGUCCAGACUCCUACGGGAGGCAGCAGUGGGGAAUAUUGGACAAUGGGCGAAAGCCUGAUCCAGCCAUGCCGCGUGUGUGAAGAAGGUCUUCGGAUUGUAAAGCACUUUAAGUGGGGAGGAAGGGCAGUAAGUUAAUACCUUGCUGUUUUGACGUUACCAACAGAAUAAGCACCGGCUAACUUCGUG